UGGCUGUGGUGUAAAGGGAAGAGGCAGAGGAAUAGUUUCUUGGGGAGGAAGGGAUUUGGCCUGGGCUCAGAGGACCAGAUUGGAGGUUCUGCAAGCACCCUGCCGAGACACAGAGGCUGAUGUGGCCAGAAGUCUACUUAUUUAUCGUCUGUCUUUUCCCCAGCGAAACCCCAGGUGUGGGUGCACACGUCCAGCUCUGUUUGCCUGUGGCCCCAGCACUCUGCAAGCACCCAGGAAGGACCAGCCUAGCCUAUUCUUUUCUCAUCUGGCUCCAUGCAGCCUCUGUGGACCGCCAGGCUGCCCUGGCAGAGCCACGAUCAUCCUUCUCGAGACAGCUGCAGCUGAUGACAUCCCGCUGGAUGGCGCGGUCCCCAGACUUAGAUGUUCCCUUUCCUGUUUACAUCAAAAUCCAUGGCUGCACUCUGUAAAUCUGGAGUUUGGUGGUGAUGGAGCUGGAAGAGUUGUUCUAAUUUAUGUUUUUGCAACUUAGGAUGUGAUAGAUCUAUGUUCUGUUGUAUCAACAAGUGAAAAU
This is a long non-coding RNA of Lutra lutra (Eurasian river otter), 532 nucleotides long. RefSeq lists it as uncharacterized. The transcript is spliced from 3 exons. NCBI's taxonomy places the organism in Eukaryota, Metazoa, Chordata, Mammalia, Carnivora, Mustelidae. The record is from RefSeq and is a predicted model, not a curated record.